AUCCAAUCCACCCUUAAAGAACAUGCUCGUAUCAAUCGAACCGAAAACUCCCCCAAUACAGCAAAAAAGAGUUUAACCAAGAUUGUUUUUUACAAGUUGAAGCACAGAAGGUCUAUGCUCGGUAACGUUUUGAUCAGCUGCAAUAAAUUAUAACAGUUUCGUUUAAUCAAAACCCAGUCUGAAACCAAAAUAAUCAUCACACUCACCCAUGCUGGUGUUCGAAACACAAUUUCAAGUUAUAAUCGAUGUUGUUAAUUUUACUUGUACAUAGCCGGCCUGCGCUGUUAUACCUAAAAAUGCCACGACUCAAAUUAAUGUAACAAACGUUAAGCGACGCGUUCUAGUUGAUCCAUCAACGCGUUCAUGCAUAUAGAAGCCUUUUUAAAACUAAUAUCUGUUCGUAGAAGAAAUGUACUGACGUUUUGUUUACCAGGUUCGCUGUGGCUAUAAAAAUAAACAGACAGUAACUAUAUGAAAACAUUUGCUUAAUACACAGCACUCCAAGAAAUAUGUUUUUUUAUGUUGAAUAUAUUUCUGAAAUAAUUGAAGGUUUACCAACCACCGCACGCAAAUAAGCGUUUUACCGCUUGUACACUAUAGCUUAUUGCUUUCUUAAAAGAUAUGGUCCUGGUUGCAACCGCAAAGCUGUUGUAAUAUCAAUCGGAAAUAAAUUCAACCAUGGCAUU
Non-coding RNA from Ciona intestinalis (vase tunicate), 686 nucleotides. The record is from RefSeq and is a predicted model, not a curated record. Lineage: Eukaryota; Metazoa; Chordata; Ascidiacea; Phlebobranchia; Cionidae.